CAGCCGCCACGGUAAUACGUAGGGCGCAAGCGUUAUCCGGAAUUAUUGGGCGUAAAGAGCUCGUAGGCGGUUUGUCGCGUCUGCCGUGAAAGUCCGGGGCUCAACCCCGGAUCUGCGGUGGGUACGGGCAGACUAGAGUGAUGUAGGGGAGACUGGAAUUCCUGGUGUAGCGGUGAAAUGCGCAGAUAUCAGGAGGAACACCGAUGGCGAAGGCAGGUCUCUGGGCAUUAACUGACGCUGAGGAGCGAAAGCAUGGGGAGCGAACAGGAUUAGAUACCCCGGUAGUCCCUGUCUCUUAUAC
This 301-nucleotide ribosomal RNA is filed under the name uncultured bacterium. Its description in RNAcentral is "partial 16S ribosomal RNA". It matches the Rfam family "Bacterial small subunit ribosomal RNA", at positions 509 to 807 of the family's 1533-position model. The record is from RNAcentral.